GAUGAACGCUGGCGGCGUGCCUAAUACAUGCAAGUCGAGCGAACAGACGAGGAGCUUGCUCCUCUGACGUUAGCGGCGGACGGGUGAGUAACACGUGGAUAACCUACCUAUAAGACUGGGAUAACUUCGGGAAACCGGAGCUAAUACCGGAUAAUAUAUUGAACCGCAUGGUUCAAUAGUGAAAGACGGUUUUGCUGUCACUUAUAGCUUGAUCCGCGCCGCAUUAGCUAGUUGGUAAGGUAACGGCUUACCAAGGCGACGAUGCGUAGCCGACCUGAGAGGGUGAUCGGCCACACUGGAACUGAGACACGGUACAGACUCCUACGGGAGGCAGCAGUAGGGAAUCUUCCGCAAUGGGCGAAAGCCUGACGGAGCAACGCCGCGUGAGUGAUGAAGGUCUUCGGAGCGUAAAACUCUGUUAUUAGGGAAGAACAAAUGUGUAAGUAACUAUGCACGUCUUGACGGUACCUAAUCAGAAAGCCACGGCUAACUACGUG
This 497-nucleotide ribosomal RNA is filed under the name uncultured bacterium. Its description in RNAcentral is "partial 16S ribosomal RNA". It matches the Rfam family "Bacterial small subunit ribosomal RNA", at positions 28 to 507 of the family's 1533-position model. The record is from RNAcentral.